Molecule: small RNA, 444 nt
Filed under: Pezizomycotina sp. MS-2015
Lineage: Eukaryota; Fungi; Ascomycota
Description: eukaryotic LSU rRNA
Rfam family: 5.8S ribosomal RNA (bases 114-268)
Source: RNAcentral
GUCCUCUUCGGCGCACUUGUCUUUGUUUCCUCGGGCGGCUUGUCCGACGGAACCUCCAUCAAAACCUUUUUGUAGUGCCUGUAUUAGUCUGAUACCAACAAAAAAAUCUUAACAACUUUCAACAAUGGAUCUCUUGGUUCUGGCAUCGAUGAAGAACGCAGCGAAAUGCGAUAAGUAGUGUGAAUUGCAGAAUUCAGUGAAUCAUCGAAUCUUUGAACGCACAUUGCGCCCUUUGGUUAUUCCUCAGGGCAUGCUUGUUCGAGCGUCAUUCUCACCCUCCAAGCCCCGCUUGGCCAUGGGCGCCUUGUCCCGCCACCGCGCGCGGACUCGCCCCAAACCUACCGGCGGCCGACCCCGUAAGCCUGAGCGCAGCAGAAACGCGCCUCUGGGCGGCAGGGCGCGGCAGGCCUUGUAAAAUGACCCCCCUCGAAGGACCUCGAAUCA